GUCUAUGGCCACGCCACCGUGAACAAGCCCGAUCCCGUCUGAUCUGGGAAGCUAAGCAGGGUCGGGCCUGGUUAGUACUUGGAUGGGAGACCACGUAGGACCAGCAGGUGCUGUAGGCA
This 119-nucleotide ribosomal RNA is filed under the name Pteropus alecto (black flying fox). Lineage: Eukaryota; Metazoa; Chordata; Mammalia; Chiroptera; Pteropodidae. The record is from RNAcentral.